CAAAAACAUGGUGUAAAAGCUAAAUAUAUUCAUACAUACUUUAAAUCAAAUAAUUGAAGAAUAAAAUUACUUUUACAGUGACACGUGGGCCCCCAACUGAUUAAGAAGAUGUAGGGCUACGAACCUUUACUUUCUAGGAUGCAACUCCGAGAUUAAUUCUCGUCUUAAUCAACUAUCAACAAAUUAUCCUGAGCCUGAAAAAUGGAUAGGAAGAGGGGUGAGAUUAUGAUUACAUAAUUCCAGUGAGUAAACAAUUACCAUCAAAAGCAUCUAAAGCUGAGUAGAUGGAGACAAUAUAAAAAAAACGUUAUAUCUCAAUAAUGUUAAUAACACAAAAUUCGUUUCAAUCUAUACCAAAUAAUUUUUUUUCAUCAAAAUUUCUCGGUUUAUGAAUUUCUUAAACUUGGCCCCUGCCAGAAUCAUUCUCACGGGUACCUUCGUCAAGGUAUCCCACUGAGACCGCUAAGGUUGUUCAAUGACCCAUACCCAUAAACAUGUUUUCACAUCUAACACACAGUCGUUCCUUGGCGUUGGCUGAGUCUCACUCUCACGUGGUGGCCCGAACGUGAGGUGCACUCAAAUCAUACCUCAGGAGAUACUUCACCCAACAUCUCCCCCCGGAGGUAAGUAUAUAAUUGAUUUACCGUGCCCCUCUCAUAGGCAGUCCACGGAAACCCCCACCACUGCAGUGACCGUUUAAUAUACCGCCAGACCCAUAAAAAUUCCAGUAACAUAAUAUGGCGAAUAAAAUGUAAUCCAGUCUACCAAGACCAAUCCAAAACUGUUCAUAUAUUUCAUGCCAACCUCAAAAAUUUAGCUAUCAUGCUACCAUAGUGUCAUAAGCCACAAUUUCAAUAACAUAUAAAAUCAUAAAUUUCAACACAGUCUCCAUAUACUCAAUUUUCCCAAAACAAUAUUUGAUUUCAAAACCAGUAUAAAUUUCAUUUUUAUUAAAAAACAUUUUAAUUGAAAAACAUAAUAUUUUAUAAUUCAAACUCAUCAUUCAAUAAAAACAUCAAACAAGUAUAAUUACUCUAGAUAUUUAAGACGAUAAAUUAUCCACUCACAGUUCUAGGAGUCGAUAUACUCCUAUUUUCAGUCCGCGGGUACAGUCAUUUACCCGUAUCUAAUGGCUCACCACCUAGCCAUAAUCCAUGGCACAUAUUUCAAUUAAAUUGUGUCUAAAAGUCAUAAGCUAUUUCAGGCUCAAUAUAUAUGCAUGAUAUGAAAUGAAAAAUGCACAGGUAGCCAUUUAGACUCGGUAUUGACCGAAGUCGAUUUUUCAUCCAAUAAAUUGGCCAAUGCGUCCAAUUUCACUCUAACUUGCUCCAUUUCUUUUCCAAUCCCUCAAUUCACCAAGCACAACUAAUUAACACACAAUUAGGCAAAAUUUAUCUUCACUUUUCUUCUUGGAACUUUCGGCCAACAAUGGUACACUAACUCCGUGAUUUUUCCUACUUAAUUUUCUCUCCAUAAUUCAUUAAUUCCUACACCAAAAACUAUUAUUUCUUAAUCAAAUCACCUAGAAUAACAUCCCAUUCUUCCUCAUUAUUCACUUAGAGAAUUCGGCUAUUGAUGGGUUCCAAACCUUUGGUGGUUUUCUUCACUUGUUUUCAUGCUACACAUCAUUAAUCACCUAAAAACACUAACAUACCUAAAAAUCAAACCAAUCCAAGAUCAUUCUCUCUCCAUACCCAUUUUGACCAGCCAUGAAUUCAUCAUGAAAACAUGUAAUUUAACCAUGGAAAUUAAGGAAAAAUGCAUGGGUAAGGUAAAUCACUAGCAAAAUCAAAGAAAUUUUACCUUUACUUGAUCAAAUCCUUGAAUUCCAACACUUUCUCUUUGAUUUUUCCCACCUAGGGUUUGUUCUUCCUUGGUUUCUCUUCUCUUCUGGUUUGGCUGAUCACUAUGGGAGAAAUGGGCUGAUUUUUU
This 1932-nucleotide long non-coding RNA is filed under the name Theobroma cacao (cacao). RNAcentral describes it as "long non-coding RNA (TCAC_LNC006087)". The record is from RNAcentral. Lineage: Eukaryota; Viridiplantae; Streptophyta; Magnoliopsida; Malvales; Malvaceae.